Molecule: unclassified non-coding RNA, 314 nt
Filed under: plant metagenome
Description: partial contains 5.8S ribosomal RNA, internal transcribed spacer 2, and large subunit ribosomal RNA
Rfam family: 5.8S ribosomal RNA (bases 1-105)
Source: RNAcentral
GAAAUGCGAUAAUUAAUGUGAAUUGCAGAAUUCAGUGAAUCAUCGAGUAUUUGAACGCACAUUGCGCCCCCUGGUAUUCCGGGGGGCAUGCCUGUCCGAGCGUCAUUGCUGCCCUCAAGCACGGCUUGUGUGUUGGGCUUCCGUCCCUGGCAACGGGGACGGGCCCAAAAGGCAGUGGCGGCACCAUGUCUGGUCCUCGAGCGUAUGGGGCUUUGUCACCCGCUCCCGUAGGUCCAGCUGGCAGCUAGCCUCGCAACCAAUCUUUUUAACCAGGUUGACCUCGGAUCAGGUAGGGAUACCCGCUGAACUUAAGC